Molecule: ribosomal RNA, 253 nt
Filed under: uncultured bacterium
Lineage: Bacteria
Description: partial 16S ribosomal RNA
Rfam family: Bacterial small subunit ribosomal RNA
Source: RNAcentral
UACGGAGGGAGCUAGCGUUGUUCGGAAUUACUGGGCGUAAAGCGCGCGUAGGCGGCUUUGUAAGUUAGAGGUGAAAGCCCGGGGCUCAACCCCGGAACUGCCUUUAAGACUGCAUCGCUUGAAUCCGGGAGAGGUGAGUGGAGUUCCGAGUGUAGAGGUGAAAUUCGUAGAUAUUCGGAAGAACACCAGUGGCGAAGGCGGCUCACUGGACCGGUAUUGACGCUGAUGUGCGAAAGCGUGGGGAGCAAACAGG